UACAGAGGGGGCAAGCGUUAUUCGGAAUUAUUGGGCGUAAAGGGCGCGUAGGCGGCAUGGCAAGUGGAUGGUGAAAUCCCUCGGCUUAACCGAGGAACUGCCGUCCAAAACUGCUUCGCUUGAGACCGGGAGAGGUGAGUGGAAUUCCCAGUGUAGCGGUGAAAUGCGUAGAUAUUGGGAGGAACACCAGUGGCGAAGGCGGCUCACUGGACCGGUACUGACGCUGAUGCGCGAAAGCGUGGGGAGCAAACGGGG
RNAcentral lists this ribosomal RNA (255 nucleotides) under uncultured bacterium. Its description in RNAcentral is "partial 16S ribosomal RNA". It matches the Rfam family "Bacterial small subunit ribosomal RNA", at positions 524 to 777 of the family's 1533-position model. The record is from RNAcentral.